UGGAAACGACAUAACAUCUUGAGGGAACGACAUUAUAUCUUGAGGGAACGACAUAGUAUUUUGAGGGGACAACAUUUUUUAUUUCUUUCAUGGCCGCAUUCUGCCUUCGUACGUUUCCCGAAGAUAGUUAUCUCUUUCCCUCAAAAUAAUAUGUCGUGCCUUAAAGAUGUUAUGUUGUUUCCUCAAGAUAGUUAUCUCGUUCCC
Molecule: small RNA, 204 nt
Filed under: Mytilus galloprovincialis (Mediterranean mussel)
Lineage: Eukaryota; Metazoa; Mollusca; Bivalvia; Mytilida; Mytilidae
Source: RNAcentral